GUUGUUGGAACUACAAAGUGGCUCAUAACCGCUUGGUCCAGGGUUCGAAUCCCUGUGGGGCCACCA
This 66-nucleotide transfer RNA is filed under the name Mesoterricola silvestris. RNAcentral's name for it is "tRNA-Met". Lineage: Bacteria; Pseudomonadati; Acidobacteriota; Holophagae; Holophagales; Holophagaceae. The record is from RNAcentral.